RNAcentral lists this ribosomal RNA (888 nucleotides) under uncultured prokaryote. Its description in RNAcentral is "bacterial SSU rRNA". It matches the Rfam family "Archaeal small subunit ribosomal RNA", at positions 455 to 1354 of the family's 1478-position model. The record is from RNAcentral.
GUGCCAGCAGCCGCGGUAAUACCAGCUCCGCGAGUGGUCGGGACGAUUAUUGAGCCUAAAGCGCUCGUAGCCGGUCCGGUAAGUCCUGUGCUAAAUCCAACGGCUCAACCGUUGGGCCGCAUGGGAUACUGCUGGGCUAGGGAGCGGAAGAGGCCAGGGGUACUCCCGGGGUAGGGGCGAAAUCCUAUAAUCCCGGGAGGACGACAGUGGCGAAGGCGCCUGGCUAGGACGCGUCCGACGGUGAGGGGCGAAAGCUGGGGGAGCGAACCGGAUUAGAUACCCGGGUAGUCCCAGCUGUAAACGAUGCGGAUUGGGUGCCGGUACGGCUUCGGGCCGUAUCGGUGCCUCAGGGAAGCCGUUAAAUCCGCCGCUUGGGGAGUACGGUCGCAAGACUGAAACUUAAAGGAAUUGCGGGGGAGCACCACAAGGGGUGAAGCCUGCGGCUCAAUUGGAGUCAGCGCCGGGAACUUUACCGGGGGCGACAGCAGUAUGAGGGCCAAGCUGAUGACUUUGCCCGACGCGCUGAGAGGUGGCGCAUGGCCGUCGCCAGCUCGUGCCGUGAGGUGUCUGGUUAAGUCCAGGAACGAGCGAGACCCUCACCCCUAGUUGCCACCGCGCAAGCGGGCACACUAGGGGGACCGCCACCGCUAAGGUGGAGGAGGGAGGGGGCAACGGCAGGUCAGCAUGCCCCGAAUCCCCCGGGCCGCACGCGGGCUGCAAUGGUGGAGACAAUGGGUUCCGAACCCGAAAGGGGGAGGUAAUCCUUGAAACUCCACCGUAGUUGGGAUCGAGGGCUGCAACCCGCCCUCGUGAACCUGGAAUCCCCAGUAAUCGCGUGUCAUCAUCGCGCGGUGAACACGUCCCCGCUCCUUGCACACACCGCCCGUC